RNAcentral lists this unclassified non-coding RNA (264 nucleotides) under uncultured fungus. RNAcentral's name for it is "partial contains 18S rRNA, ITS1 and 5.8S rRNA". Lineage: Eukaryota; Fungi. The record is from RNAcentral.
AGGUGAACCUGCGGAAGGAUCAUUACUAGAGCAAAGGAUAGACACUACCCUACUUCGGUAGGGUUUAGAGUCGUCGGGCCUCUCGGAGAAGCUCGGUCCUGAACUCCACCCUUGAAUAAAUUACCUUUGUUGCUUUGGCGGGCCGCCUCGUGCCAGCGGCUUCGGCUGUUGAGUGCCCGCCAGAGGACCACAACUCUUGUUUUUAGUGAUGUCUGAGUACUAUAUAAUAGUUAAAACUUUCAACAACGGAUCUCUUGGUUCUGG